GGCGAGAUGGCCGAGCGGUCUAAGGCGCUGUGUUAAGGUGUUCACACGAGCAUCCGCAGUCUUCGGACGUGGGUUCGAAUCCCACUCUCGUCA
This 93-nucleotide transfer RNA is filed under the name Cutaneotrichosporon oleaginosum. RNAcentral's name for it is "Trichosporon oleaginosus tRNA". It matches the Rfam family "tRNA". Rfam says of the family: Transfer RNA (tRNA) molecules are approximately 80 nucleotides in length. Their secondary structure includes four short double-helical elements and three loops (D, anti-codon, and T loops). Further hydrogen bonds mediate the characteristic L-shaped molecular structure. tRNAs have two regions of fundamental functional importance: the anti-codon, which is responsible for specific mRNA codon recognition, and the 3' end, to which the tRNAs corresponding amino acid is attached (by aminoacyl-tRNA synthetases). tRNAs cope with the degeneracy of the genetic code in two manners: having more than one tRNA (with a specific anti-codon) for a particular amino acid; and 'wobble' base-pairing, i.e. permitting non-standard base-pairing at the 3rd anti-codon position. The record is from Rfam by way of RNAcentral. Lineage: Eukaryota; Fungi; Basidiomycota; Tremellomycetes; Trichosporonales; Trichosporonaceae.